UUAGUUGUAGAUAAAAAUUUAGAAUUAGUAAUAGUUAUGUUCUUUAAAAUUAAAGAUUUUGGCGGUAUUUUAGUCUUUUCAGAGGAACCUGUUCUAUAAUUGAUAGUCCACGAUAAAUUAAACUUAUUUUUUUAAUUUGUAUAACGUCGUAGAUGAAUAUUUUAAAAGAAAAAAAAUAUUCAAUAUUUAUUAUUUUAGUAAAAAUCAGAUCAUGUUGCAGUUUAUAAAUAAGAAGAAAUGGGUUACAAUAUAAUAUAUAAACGGAUUAAUAAUUGAAAAUUAUUAUAAAGGUGGAUUUGAAAGUAAUUAAUUAUAUUUUUUUUUAAUGAUUUAAGCUCUAAAAUAUGU
This 348-nucleotide ribosomal RNA is filed under the name Mycetina trimaculata. RNAcentral describes it as "partial 12S ribosomal RNA". Lineage: Eukaryota; Metazoa; Arthropoda; Insecta; Coleoptera; Endomychidae. The record is from RNAcentral.